AGCAGUCGCCACGGUAACACCAGCAGCCCAAGUGGUGGUCGCGAUUAUUGGGCCUAAAGCGCUCGCAGCCGGGCCGGUAAGUCCCUUGUGAAAUCGGACGGCCUAACCGUUCGGCGUGCAAGGGAUACUGUCGGUCUUGAGGCCGGGAGACGUCCGAGGUACUCCGGGGGUAGCGGUGAAAUGUUCUGAUCCUCGGGGGACCACCGGUGGCGAAGGCGUUCGACGAGAACGGGCCUGACGGUGAGGGGCGAAGGCUAGGGGAGCAAACGGGAUUAGAUACCCGCGUAGUCCCUGUCUCUUAUA
RNAcentral lists this ribosomal RNA (303 nucleotides) under uncultured bacterium. RNAcentral's name for it is "partial 16S ribosomal RNA". It matches the Rfam family "Archaeal small subunit ribosomal RNA", at positions 457 to 759 of the family's 1478-position model. The record is from RNAcentral.